AUGUUAUUAAAAUAUUAUGUGUCACCAGCGAGACACGGCAGCCACAGGACAACUAGAUAUAGUCAACAAUAAUAAUUACAGGAAUGGAAAGUGAACUAAAAUGAUGUUUGAUGGUUAUCAUAUACGAGUAUUUUUGAAUCCUUUAUGUAGACAGGUUGUUUUGAUUCCAGUGUUUAUAUUUAUUUUUAUACUAUUUAUAUGAAACGUGCUUAUGUAUCGCACGCGUUGGAUAUAUGUAUUACUUUAUGAUAUUGUUACUUAGGGUCUCAGCCACAGCACCGUUUACUUUUACCUAGGUAGGUAUGAACUUUUACCAUGUAAUGUAUGAGUAGUUAUAAAUAUAGAUGUAUGUUCAAAUUGCUGUUUUUUAUUGUAAUUCCCCAAAAUAGAUAGAAAUAUUAUACCUAACCUAAUAACAUAAAGCACCCUGUCGGGCUCAGCAAGCAACCGAGGCACAUGGCCAAAUGAUGUACAAAUCUCUCGGUUUUCUACUCUAAUAAAAGUUUGUCUGUCUGUAAGGACGCAACAAACGCAAAUUAUACAGGACGGCUUUUUGUCCGUACGGAUUACCUACCGUAAACAAAAUCAUAACUGUUUAAAAACUUACCUUUAUACAUCUCACUAUAUUAGUGUUGUCCUCUUCUUGUUUUGACAUUACAACACUUGAUAGAACGUCAAAUUACAAAGUAGCGAUGUCGUAAAUGUGACGAAAACAAGUUGUUUGCAACGAAACGUAAUACACUACACAUACAAUGAGCGAACCAAAAAAGAAGCCUGCCUCAGCGCCACCCGCGGCACAACCAUCACCUGGUGCUGGGAUGUCCUCAGCACCCCCACCACCCGCGCCACCACCCCCUCCCACAGCGGCUCCUCCAUGUAGCUUCAGGGGCAGUUGCCCUGCUGAUGUCCCCUUCUUUGCUGUAAUUGCAGGAAUGGUGGGUCUCUUUUUACGAGCCGUCUACCGCGAUUAUCUAGGGGACCAACGCGAAGCAGGAAAGAAUUAGAGAAGAGGAACAUACAGAAGCGUUGUUGGCAGAUAAAGGAGUGAAGGGAAGGCUUCCAGAGGUCGCUGGCUAUAACGACGGGCAAGCUAUUUUAAUGUUUUUCUAAUUUUCUAUUCAUUUUUGUACUUAUUUAGGCAUAUCCGUUUAACAGGGAUGUUCCUCUAUAAUAGUCAAAAUAUCUGCUUUAAUCAUAGAUAUAAUUUUUCUGUGGCUUCAGUGCUGAGCUCCGAGCCACAACUACCGUUUACUUAGCUUGUGCUUUCUUAUGUACGAAUAGAUAUGAAUAUAGCUGUAUAACUGAA
Molecule: long non-coding RNA, 1306 nt
Organism: Spodoptera frugiperda (fall armyworm)
Lineage: Eukaryota; Metazoa; Arthropoda; Insecta; Lepidoptera; Noctuidae
Exons: 2
Source: RefSeq, a predicted model, not a curated record